RNAcentral lists this ribosomal RNA (137 nucleotides) under uncultured eukaryote. RNAcentral's name for it is "partial 18S ribosomal RNA". It matches the Rfam family "Eukaryotic small subunit ribosomal RNA", at positions 1299 to 1458 of the family's 1831-position model. The record is from RNAcentral.
UCGUGGUAUGAUCUGUCUGUUUAACUACGAUAACGAACGAGACCCAGGCUGUUUAGUUGGCUGAGGUCGCCUUUGGCGGACUCAUGUCUCCUAUAUGGACUUUAAGUGAAAACUUAAGGAAGUUCUGGACAAAAUCA